RNAcentral lists this ribosomal RNA (760 nucleotides) under Kocuria sp. RNAcentral's name for it is "bacterial SSU rRNA". It matches the Rfam family "Bacterial small subunit ribosomal RNA", at positions 68 to 845 of the family's 1533-position model. The record is from RNAcentral. Lineage: Bacteria; Bacillati; Actinomycetota; Actinomycetes; Micrococcales; Micrococcaceae.
GAUGAUCUCCCGCUUGCGGGGGUGAUUAGUGGCGAACGGGUGAGUAAUACGUGAGUAACCUGCCCUUGACUCUGGGAUAAGCCUGGGAAACCGGGUCUAAUACUGGAUACGACCCCCUGUCGCAUGGUGGGGGGUGGAAAGGGUUUGACUGGUUUUGGAUGGGCUCACGGCCUAUCAGCUUGUUGGUGGGGUAAUGGCUCACCAAGGCGACGACGGGUAGCCGGCCUGAGAGGGUGACCGGCCACACUGGGACUGAGACACGGCCCAGACUCCUACGGGAGGCAGCAGUGGGGAAUAUUGCACAAUGGGCGGAAGCCUGAUGCAGCGACGCCGCGUGAGGGAUGACGGCCUUCGGGUUGUAAACCUCUUUCAGCAGGGAAGAAGCCACAAGUGACGGUACCUGCAGAAGAAGCGCCGGCUAACUACGUGCCAGCAGCCGCGGUAAUACGUAGGGCGCAAGCGUUGUCCGGAAUUAUUGGGCGUAAAGAGCUCGUAGGCGGUUUGUCGCGUCUGCUGUGAAAGCCCGGGGCUCAACCCCGGGUCUGCAGUGGGUACGGGCAGACUAGAGUGCAGUAGGGGAGACUGGAAUUCCUGGUGUAGCGGUGAAAUGCGCAGAUAUCAGGAGGAACACCGAUGGCGAAGGCAGGUCUCUGGGCUGUUACUGACGCUGAGGAGCGAAAGCAUGGGGAGCGAACAGGAUUAGAUACCCUGGUAGUCCAUGCCGUAAACGUUGGGCACUAGGUGUGGGGGACAUUCCACG